CGGCGUGCUUAACACAUGCAAGUCGAACGAACCUUCGGGUUAGUGGCGGACGGGUGAGUAACGCGUGAGAAUCUGCCCUCAGGAGGGGGACAACAGCUGGAAACGGCUGCUAAUACCCCAUAUGCCGCGAGGUGAAAUGAAUUUCGCCUGAGGAUGAGCUCGCGUCUGAUUAGCUAGUUGGUGUAGGUAAUGGCUCACCAAGGCAUCGAUCAGUAGCUGGUCUGAGAGGAUGAUCAGCCACACUGGGACUGAGACACGGCCCAGACUCCUACGGGAGGCAGCAGUGGGGAAUUUUCCGCAAUGGGCGAAAGCCUGACGGAGCAACGCCGCGUGAGGGAUGAAAGCCUCUGGGCUGUAAACCUCUUUUAUCAAGGAAGAAGAUCUGACGGUACUUG
RNAcentral lists this ribosomal RNA (395 nucleotides) under uncultured bacterium. RNAcentral's name for it is "bacterial SSU rRNA". It matches the Rfam family "Bacterial small subunit ribosomal RNA", at positions 40 to 481 of the family's 1533-position model. The record is from RNAcentral.